UUGUGCGAGUCGCCUCUAGGCCUUUACUUGAUGUCUUGGAUUCUUUCCCUGUAUUCUUUUCAACUUUGUCUUGUUGAAUUCUGCAGUUUGGAAUAACAUGAGCUUCCAUUGUUGUUCCACUGGGUAUCUCACUGUAAAACUCUUGAAUUCUGCCAUCGGAUUCAAGACUCUGGUAGAAGAUACUCAUGAUUGUGGACAUUAUCAUAUCAAAAUGAUGAACAAGUGUUUUAUAAGAUGAGAUCAAGUUUUUCUUUCUUUCUUUUUU
RNAcentral lists this unclassified non-coding RNA (265 nucleotides) under Hevea brasiliensis (rubber tree). Lineage: Eukaryota; Viridiplantae; Streptophyta; Magnoliopsida; Malpighiales; Euphorbiaceae. The record is from RNAcentral.